AGCGGAGAUUUAUGCAGAUGGGAGUGGAGGGGCCAGCCCGGCCCAAAGGUCGUCAAACAAAUCGCCCAAGUCCAGAAGCACUCAGAGCCAGAAAAGUCAGAGAAAAAAAAAAGACAAACGACAAAGCAAAAAAUAAAAUAAAACCCAAACGAAUUCAAUUCAAUUUCAUUCAAUCAACAAAGGAACAACAAACACAGAAACAAAGUUCAAGGGCAUUUACAACUAAGAAACGAUAGGAAACAAUUUGUUGGCGCUUAUUAUUAUCUGCAAGGCCACCGAAAAUCAUAUAAAUCAAUAAAAAUAAAGGGAUUUUGUAUUAAAUAUUGAUUGAAAAGUUUGCUUUCGGAAAUCGCACCAAAGUGACAUGGGCCCACAUGGGAAAAAGUGUAUGUGAACCGUAUACGAAUGGAGAACAGAACAACGUGGUCAAGGAACGGGAACGGAAUGGUGGUGGUCAUAGGGAAUUGCCUGCAAAAUUGGCAGGAAAGCCAAUGGGCGUGGCACUUCAGACGAUUACCGUCCAGCUCAUUUGGCAGCCAAUUAAGAGUAAAUCUAAGCUCCCAACUUCAAAGUCCACCUUCCAUUUCCUCCUCGAAAUUGCGAAGGCAAUCGAGGAGAAUAAGAUGUGUGAGAAUGAAAAGAUUAAUGAAGGUAAAUAA
Non-coding RNA from Drosophila melanogaster (fruit fly), 659 nucleotides. The record is from Ensembl. Lineage: Eukaryota; Metazoa; Arthropoda; Insecta; Diptera; Drosophilidae.